CCUACGGGAGACAGCAGUGAGGAAUAUUGGUCAAUGGACGAGAGUCUGAACCAGCCAAGUAGCGUGAAGGAUGACUGCCCUAUGGGUUGUAAACUUCUUUUAUAUGGGAAUAAAACGUUCCACGUGUGGGAUUUUGUAUGUACCAUAUGAAUAAGGAUCGGCUAACUCCGUGCCAGCAGCCGCGGUAAUACGGAGGAUCCGAGCGUUAUCCGGAUUUAUUGGGUUUAAAGGGAGCGUAGGUGGAUUGUUAAGUCAGUUGUGAAAGUUUGCGGCUCAACCGUAAAAUUGCAGUUGAAACUGGCAGUCUUGAGGACAGUAGAGGUGGGCGGAAUUCGGGGUGUAGCGGUGAAAUGCUUAGAUAUCACGAAGAACUCCGAUUGCGAAGGCAGUUCACUGGACUGCAACUGACACUGAGGCUCGAAAGUGUGGGUAUCAAACAGGAUUAGAUACCCUUGUAGUC
This 460-nucleotide ribosomal RNA is filed under the name uncultured bacterium. Its description in RNAcentral is "partial 16S ribosomal RNA". It matches the Rfam family "Bacterial small subunit ribosomal RNA", at positions 338 to 795 of the family's 1533-position model. The record is from RNAcentral.